This 253-nucleotide ribosomal RNA is filed under the name uncultured bacterium. RNAcentral's name for it is "partial 16S ribosomal RNA". It matches the Rfam family "Bacterial small subunit ribosomal RNA", at positions 524 to 776 of the family's 1533-position model. The record is from RNAcentral.
UACAGAGGUAUCAAGCGUUGUUCGGAUUCAUUGGGCGGAAAGGGCGCGUAGGCUGCGGGGCAAGUCGGGUGUGAAAUCUCAGAGCUCAACUCUGAAACUGCACUCGAUACUGCUUUGCUUGAGGACUGGAGAGGAGAUUGGAAUUCACGGUGUAGCAGUGAAAUGCGUAGAUAUCGUGAGGAAGACCAGUGGCGAAGGCGGAUCUCUGGACAGUUCCUGACGCUGAGGCGCGAAGGCCAGGGGAGCAAACGGG